UUGGAAUAAUACCCCAUACGAUCAUUAAUCGGCAUCGAUUGAUGAAGAAAACUCCGGUGGUAGAAGAUGGGCAUGCGUCCUAUUAGUUAGUUGGUGAGGUAACGGCUCACCAAGACGUCGAUAGGUAGGGGUCCUGAGAGGGAGAUCCCCCACACUGGUACUGAGACACGGACCAGACUCCUACGGGAGGCAGCAGUGAGGAAUAUUGGACAAUGGAGGCAACUCUGAUCCAGCCAUGCCGCGUGCAGGAAGACGGCCCUAUGGGUUGUAAACUGCUUUUAUACAGGAAGAAUUGUACCUACGUGUAGGUAUUUGACGGUACUGUACGAAUAAGGAUCGG
RNAcentral lists this ribosomal RNA (340 nucleotides) under uncultured Flavobacteriaceae bacterium. RNAcentral describes it as "bacterial SSU rRNA". It matches the Rfam family "Bacterial small subunit ribosomal RNA", at positions 158 to 496 of the family's 1533-position model. Lineage: Bacteria; Pseudomonadati; Bacteroidota; Flavobacteriia; Flavobacteriales; Flavobacteriaceae. The record is from RNAcentral.